UAAGGAAUCUUCCGCAAUGGACGCAAGUCUGACGGAGCAACGCCGCGUGAGUGAAGAAGGAUUUCGGUUCGUAAAACUCUGUUGUUAGAGAAGAACAGCGCAUAGAGUAACUGUUAUGCGUGUGACGGUAUCUAACCAGAAAGCCACGGCUAACUACGUGCCAGCAGCCGCGGUAAUACGUAGGUGGCAAGCGUUGUCCGGAUUUAUUGGGCGUAAAGCGAGCGCAGGCGGUCAAUUAAGUCUGAUGUGAAAGCCCCCGGCUCAACCGGGGAGGGUCAUUGGAAACUGGUUGACUUGAGUGCAGAAGAGGAGAGUGGAAUUCCAUGUGUAGCGGUGAAAUGCGUAGAUAUAUGGAGGAACACCAGUGGCGAAGGCGACUCUCUGGUCUGUAACUGACGCUGAGGCUCGAAAGCGUGGGUAGCAAACAGG
RNAcentral lists this ribosomal RNA (429 nucleotides) under Bacteroidota bacterium. RNAcentral's name for it is "Bacteroidetes bacterium partial 16S ribosomal RNA". It matches the Rfam family "Bacterial small subunit ribosomal RNA", at positions 355 to 776 of the family's 1533-position model. The record is from RNAcentral. Lineage: Bacteria; Pseudomonadati; Bacteroidota.